This 710-nucleotide long non-coding RNA is filed under the name Heterocephalus glaber (naked mole-rat). RNAcentral describes it as "lncRNA (ENSHGLG00000047198.1)". The record is from RNAcentral. Lineage: Eukaryota; Metazoa; Chordata; Mammalia; Rodentia; Bathyergidae.
CGAUGGGAUGCUGCCAUUUUGGAGAGGUCUCAGCCAGUGAUGAAGAGUGGUCACAUGUAGGGAAAGUUUGGUGUGAUGAUUAUGGCAACUAGGACCAGUGCUGAAGCUAUCACCUCUCCUACUGCCAGCAUUGUGCAAUGGUGUGCAAUGGUAUCAUCAGCCCACAAGACAGAAUGAUGAAGAAGACUAAAGUGUGAGGAAGAUGUAGUUGGAAUCCAUUUUCCUGAAGACUGUCUUUAAGAUGAUUUCAUUCUCAUUUAUAAAAGAAUUUAAAGGAAGAACUUGCAAUGCCAGCUUUGGAUUUGGGAAACUGGAUCUAAAAGUGUGUGCGUGCGAGGUGCCACCUGCAUUGCGCCUUGGCCGACUGCUGAUUGUUCGCCACGAUCUGGCACUAAUCCCAAGGAUUAAGUGAGCAUCUGCUCCCCAGUGCUAACAGCCGGAUGGAGCCAAGCCAUCUACAGAAUGAAUCAGUCUUCUCAAGCUAUGUGCCUGAAGGCUUAAACUCCGGGGAAAGUCAUCAGGGAUGUCCUUAACAGGCCACUGUCUGGAAGUAGAAAAAUACCAUAACUUUGUGGUGUGAUCAAAGUACAGUAAUGACGAUGAAGCAGAAGCCCUGAGUUCCUUAAGAGUAGAUGUCCUCCUUUUUAUUGCCUUCAUAGGGCUUAUGGGACUACUCCCGAAGCCCCUUCCUGAUGUAGAGCCAUCUGGGG